CCGGGAGGGGGGCUGCAGGCCGCGGGCCGUGUCUGACCUGAAUUCUUACACUUACAGGAAAUUAGAGCCCUUGGAAGCAGCCACCUAUGGGCGACGAGGUCUCCAGGGAAACUCCAGAACAUUCUGUGGGUUUUGGUGGUUACCUGCUGAGGCGGCGGUGGGCGUAGAGCAUCCGAGGGUCCAAGGCUCAGCAAACAGGACCCUCCAGCCCGCCCAGGUGCAAGAUCCUGCUGGGCCUGGGUGAGGUGAGAUGCACAAGUGCCAGCUCCAAUCUGCCCUUGCCAAAUGCUGUUCCAAAUUGGCUCCGUGAAACCAGAACCGCAAAAUCCCGUCAGGACAGCUGGAGGUAAGCACAGCGGUGGAAGGAUUUAGACCACGUCAAAACGGCUCGUGUACAAGAGGGUGAGAAAACCUGUGGACUCCUGGGCAAAGGCACCAUCGGGAACAUUAAGAAAGCAAUCCCACCUCAAACCCACAACCAAAAUAUUUUAUAAGAACUCUCCCUUUUCCCCCCACUCUCUUUUGUCAAGUAAAGGAUACACACGGCCUUUCUACUUGUAACCUGGCCAAGAAUAAUUUGUGGCAGGAAAGUUUGAGCAUUUGUCAAAAUAAAAUAAAAAUGUAAAAAAAAAAAAAUUGCGAGCACUGGAGUGUACAUUUGUGUGAAACUAAACAGAGGGAAGGUUAUU
This 689-nucleotide long non-coding RNA is filed under the name Rhinopithecus bieti (black snub-nosed monkey). Its description in RNAcentral is "lncRNA (ENSRBIG00000045224.1)". Lineage: Eukaryota; Metazoa; Chordata; Mammalia; Primates; Cercopithecidae. The record is from RNAcentral.